CACGUAGGCGGUUGCGUCAGUCGAUUGUGAAAGCCCCGGGCUUAACCUGGGAAUUGCAGUCGAUACUGCGUUACUAGAGUGUGGUAGAGGGAAGCGGAAUUCCGGGUGUAGCGGUGAAAUGCGUAGAUAUCCGGAGGAACACCAGUGGCGAAGGCGGCUUCCUGGACCAACACUGACGCUGAGGUGCGAAAGCGUGGGGAGCAAACA
This 207-nucleotide ribosomal RNA is filed under the name uncultured bacterium. Its description in RNAcentral is "partial 16S ribosomal RNA". It matches the Rfam family "Bacterial small subunit ribosomal RNA", at positions 568 to 774 of the family's 1533-position model. The record is from RNAcentral.